UUAAAUCAGUUAUCGUUUAUUUGAUAGUACCUUACUACUUGGAUAACCGUGGUAAUUCUAGAGCUAAUACAUGCUAAAAAUCCCGACUUCGGAAGGGAUGUAUUUAUUAGAUUAAAAACCAAUGCCCUUCGGGGCUCACUGGUGAUUCAUGAUAACUUCUCGAAUCGCAUGGCCUUGCGCCGGCGAUGGUUCAUUCAAAUUUCUGCCCUAUCAACUUUCGACGGCUGGGUCUUGGCCAGCCAUGGUGACAACGGGUAACGGAGGGUUAGGGCUCGACCCCGGAGAAGGAGCCUGAGAGACGGCUACUACAUCCAAGGAAGGCAGCAGGCGCGCAAAUUACCCAAUCCCGACACGGGGAGGUAGUGACGAUAAAUACUGAUACAGGGCUCUUUUGGGUCUUGUAAUUGGAAUGAGUACAAUUUAAAUCCCUUAACGAGGAACAAUUGGAGGGCAAGUCUGGUGCCAGCAGCCGCGGUAAUUCCAGCUCCAAUAGCGUAUAUUAAAGUUGUUGCAGUUAAAAAGCUCGUAGUUGAACCUUGGGCCUGGCUGGCCGGUCCGCCUCACCGCGUGCACUGGUCCGGCCGGGCCUUUCCCUCUGGGGAGCCGCAUGCCCUUCACUGGGCGUGUCGGGGAACCAGGACUUUUACUUUGAAAAAAUUAGAGUGUUCAAAGCAGGCCUAUGCUCGAAUACAUUAGCAUGGAAUAAUAAAAUAGGACGUGCGGUUCUAUUUUGUUGGUUUCUAGGACCGCCGUAAUGAUUAAUAGGGACAGUCGGGGGCAUCAGUAUUCAAUUGUCAGAGGUGAAAUUCUUGGAUUUAUUGAAGACUAACUACUGCGAAAGCAUUUGCCAAGGAUGUUUUCAUUAAUCAGGAACGAAAGUUAGGGGAUCGAAGACGAUCAGAUACCGUCGUAGUCUUAACCAUAAACUAUGCCGACUAGGGAUCGGACGAUGUUAUUUUUUGACUCGUUCGGCA
Molecule: ribosomal RNA, 974 nt
Filed under: Cancellidium sp.
Lineage: Eukaryota; Fungi; Ascomycota; Sordariomycetes; Cancellidiaceae
Description: SSU rRNA
Rfam family: Eukaryotic small subunit ribosomal RNA
Source: RNAcentral